Long non-coding RNA from Centruroides sculpturatus (bark scorpion), 423 nucleotides. RefSeq lists it as uncharacterized. The transcript is spliced from 2 exons. The record is from RefSeq and is a predicted model, not a curated record. NCBI's taxonomy places the organism in Eukaryota, Metazoa, Arthropoda, Arachnida, Scorpiones, Buthidae.
GUGGACGUCAGAUUCUUAAUUUAGGAAGUGGAUGUUGGAACCUCGGAAUAAUACUUCACGAAUUAGGCCACGUUAUUGGCUUCUAUCACGAACAUAAUCGACCGGAUCGUGAUAAAUAUAUUAAAAUUUUGUGGAAUAAUAUUGAAGAAGAACAUAAGAGUUCGUUUCUGAUGUACGAUAAGAACUUCUUGAGAAUAUGUGACCAUUAUAGUUACGAUAGCAUUAUGCAUUAUGGUCCUAAAUCCUUCGCUAAAUAUGGUAAAAUAAGUUUAAUGCCAACUCUUCCAAAUGUUACCAUUAAAGAAAUUUACGAAUGGGACUCUCUGUUACAAUCCGACAUUGAAUGUAUUAACAAGUUAUAUGAAUGCGAAUAAAUUCUGUUGUAAAUAUAUAGCCUAAAUAAAAUUUAGUUCAUUAUCUGAA